Molecule: ribosomal RNA, 498 nt
Filed under: uncultured Massilia sp.
Lineage: Bacteria; Pseudomonadati; Pseudomonadota; Betaproteobacteria; Burkholderiales; Oxalobacteraceae
Description: bacterial SSU rRNA
Rfam family: Bacterial small subunit ribosomal RNA
Source: RNAcentral
UUUGAUCCUGGCUCAGAUUGAACGCUGGCGGCAUGCUUUACACAUGCAAGUCGAACGGCAGCGCGGGGCAACCUGGCGGCGAGUGGCGAACGGGUGAGUAAUAUAUCGGAACGUACCCAAGAGUGGGGGAUAACGUAGCGAAAGUUACGCUAAUACCGCAUACGAUCUAAGGAUGAAAGCAGGGGAUCUUCGGACCUUGUGCUCCUGGAGCGGCCGAUAUCUGAUUAGCUAGUUGGUGAGGUAAAGGCUCACCAAGGCCACGAUCAGUAGCUGGUCUGAGAGGACGACCAGCCACACUGGAACUGAGACACGGUCCAGACUCCUACGGGAGGCAGCAGUGGGGAAUUUUGGACAAUGGGCGAAAGCCUGAUCCAGCAAUGCCGCGUGAGUGAAGAAGGCCUUCGGGUUGUAAAGCUCUUUUGUCAGGGAAGAAACGGUGAGGGCUAAUAUCCCUCGCUAAUGACGGUACCUGAAGAAUAAGCACCGGCUAACUACGUG